Molecule: long non-coding RNA, 882 nt
Organism: Canis lupus familiaris (dog)
Lineage: Eukaryota; Metazoa; Chordata; Mammalia; Carnivora; Canidae
Exons: 4
Source: RefSeq, a predicted model, not a curated record
UGCCUCCUGCCGUCGUGAGCACGAGCAGGGCCAGGCCUGAGGCCGCGGCCAACGACGAGGUCAGCGCGCUCAGAGAACAGGCGUCCCUGGCCGCCCGGCCGACUGAGGGCACAGCAGAGCUGAGGGGAAGGCCUCGGCCCCCGUGGCGGCGGCGGCGACAAACAGGCGCGGCCUGGGGAAGGGGAGUUUCAGGGGAGACCACGCUCCAAGGACGGCGGGAGCCAGCGCGGCCCUACCUGCCCCUCCGGGAGAACGCAGAGGAGACGGCCCUGUUCGGAAGCCCCGGGCUCCUGGAUGCCAUCUGCACACGCCUCUCGUCUCUUCAGAGUCACUCGGCCUCUCCAGCGUGUCCAGAGCAGCUGCCAUAGCUGCACGUGGCAGCCACUUACGGAGAACCUGGUAUGACUUACCCGCCGGCAUUAUUAGCUCGUCUGAGACCUCUCAGCUUUGAGCGCUAACGAGGAGGGAGGAAUUGCUUCAUCCGUCUUGGGGGAGCAUCGAGGCCAUGCAGCCAACAAUCCAAGGGGCUGAUAACUGUACUGGCUUCUCAGAGAUACUGUGCAAUUUGAGAGACACGCGCUGAGGAAACAGGCCAGGACCCAGAAGACGAGUGGAGAGGAUUGGCUCCAUCCCCGAGUCUGAGUCCACUGAGUCACUACACCAGGGCUCACACAGCAGUCCACAGGCUCCCACAAAGCAGUAUUUUCAAAUCCUGCAUUUUUUAUUAUAGAGACUUCUUACUCCUGUAAAAGUUCAAUUUGCUUUGGGGCGUCUGGGUGGCUCAGUGGUUGAGCAUCUGCCUUCGGCUCAGGGCAUGGUCCCGGGGUCCUGGGAUUGAGUCCCGACAGGGCCCCUGCUUCUCCCUCUGCCUGUGUCUCUGUA